This 371-nucleotide ribosomal RNA is filed under the name uncultured organism. RNAcentral's name for it is "partial 16S ribosomal RNA". It matches the Rfam family "Bacterial small subunit ribosomal RNA", at positions 527 to 896 of the family's 1533-position model. The record is from RNAcentral.
GUAGGUGGCAGCGUUGUCCGGAAUUAUUGGGCGUAAAGCGCGCGCAGGCGGUUCUUUAAGUCUGAUGUGAAAGCCCACGGGCUCAACCGUGGAGGGUCAUUGGAAACUGGAGAACUUGAGUACAGAAGAGGAAAGCGGAAUUCCACGUGUAGCGGUGAAAUGCGUAGAGAUGUGGAGGAACACCAGUGGCGAAGGCGGCUUUCUGGUCUGUAACUGACGCUGAGGCGCGAAAGCGUGGGGAGCAAACAGGAUUAGAUACCCUGGUAGUCCACGCCGUAAACGAUGAGUGCUAAGUGUUAGGGGGUUUCCGCCCCUUAGUGCUGCAGCUAACGCAUUAAGCACUCCGCCUGGGGAGUACGACCGCAAGGUUG